AUUGAACGCUGGCGGCAUGCCUUACACAUGCAAGUCGAACGGCAGCACGGGUGCUUGCACCUGGUGGCGAGUGGCGAACGGGUGAGUAAUACAUCGGAACAUGUCCUGUAGUGGGGGAUAGCCCGGCGAAAGCCGGAUUAAUACCGCAUACGAUCUACGGAUGAAAGCGGGGGACCUUCGGGCCUCGCGCUAUAGGGUUGGCCGAUGGCUGAUUAGCUAGUUGGUGGGGUAAAGGCCUACCAAGGCGACGAUCAGUAGCUGGUCUGAAAGGACGACCAGCCACACUGGGACUGAGACACGGCCCAGACUCCUACGGGAGGCAGCAGUGGGGAAUUUUGGACAAUGGGCGAAAGCCUGAUCCAGCAAUGCCGCGUGUGUGAAGAAGGCCUUCGGGUUGUAAAGCACUUUUGUCCGGAAAGAAAUCCUUGGCCCUAAUACGGUCGGGGGAUGACGGUACCGGAAGAAUAAGCACCGGCUAACUACGUG
RNAcentral lists this ribosomal RNA (486 nucleotides) under uncultured bacterium. RNAcentral's name for it is "partial 16S ribosomal RNA". It matches the Rfam family "Bacterial small subunit ribosomal RNA", at positions 30 to 507 of the family's 1533-position model. The record is from RNAcentral.